GAUGAAGAACGUAGCAAAAUGCGAUAAGUAAUGUGAAUUGCAGAAUUCAGUGAAUCAUCGAAUCUUUGAACGCACAUUGCGCCCGCUAGUAUUCUGGCGGGCAUGCCUGUCCGAGCGUCAUUUCAACCAUCAAGCCCCGGGCUUGUGUUGGGGUCCUGCGGCCGUCCGCAGCCCCCGAAAAGCAGUGGCGGGCUCGCUAUCACACCGAGUGCAGUAGUAUCUCCUCGCUCAGGACGUGUAGCGGGUUCCGGCCGUGAAACCCCCCAAUUUUCAAGGUUGACCUCGGAUCAGGUAGGAAUACCCGCUGAACUUAAGCAUAUCAAUAAGGGAGGA
This 333-nucleotide unclassified non-coding RNA is filed under the name soil metagenome. RNAcentral describes it as "partial contains 5.8S ribosomal RNA, internal transcribed spacer 2, and large subunit ribosomal RNA". The stretch from base 1 to 120 matches the Rfam family "5.8S ribosomal RNA", at positions 35 to 154 of the family's 154-position model. The record is from RNAcentral.